Gorilla gorilla gorilla (western lowland gorilla) is the source of this 148-nucleotide non-coding RNA. It matches the Rfam family "Metazoan signal recognition particle RNA". Rfam says of the family: The signal recognition particle (SRP) is a universally conserved ribonucleoprotein. It is involved in the co-translational targeting of proteins to membranes. The eukaryotic SRP consists of a 300-nucleotide 7S RNA and six proteins: SRPs 72, 68, 54, 19, 14, and 9. The record is from Rfam. Lineage: Eukaryota; Metazoa; Chordata; Mammalia; Primates; Hominidae.
GCCGGGUGUGGUGGUGCGCACCUGUAAUCCCAGCUACCUGGGAGGCUGAGGCAGGAGAAUCACUGGCACCCGGGAGCUGGAGGUUGCAGUGAGCCGAGAUUGCGCCACUGCACUUCAGCCCAGGUGAUAGAGUGAGACUCCGUCUCAA